ACUACGGGAGGCAGCAGUGGGGAAUAUUGCACAAUGGGGGAAACCCUGAUGCAGCGACGCCGCGUGAGUGAAGAAGUAUUUCGGUAUGUAAAGCUCUAUCAGCAGGGAAGAAAAUGACGGUACCUGAUUAAGAAGCCCCGGCUAACUACGCGCCAGCAGCCGCUGUAAUACGUAGGGGGCAAGCGUUAGCCGGAUUUACUGGGUGUAAAGGGAGCGUAGACGGCAGGACAAGUCUGGAGUGAAAUGCCGGGGCUUACCCCCGGCACUGCUUUGGAAACUGUGCAGCUAGAGUGCAGGAGAGGUACGUGUAAUUCCUAGUGUAGCGGUGACAUGCGUAGAUAUUAG
RNAcentral lists this ribosomal RNA (345 nucleotides) under uncultured bacterium. RNAcentral's name for it is "partial 16S ribosomal RNA". It matches the Rfam family "Bacterial small subunit ribosomal RNA", at positions 338 to 700 of the family's 1533-position model. The record is from RNAcentral.